Molecule: transfer RNA, 87 nt
Filed under: Holosporaceae bacterium
Lineage: Bacteria; Pseudomonadati; Pseudomonadota; Alphaproteobacteria; Holosporales; Holosporaceae
Description: tRNA-Leu
Rfam family: tRNA
About the family: Transfer RNA (tRNA) molecules are approximately 80 nucleotides in length. Their secondary structure includes four short double-helical elements and three loops (D, anti-codon, and T loops).
Source: RNAcentral
GCCUCUGUGGCGGAACUGGUAGACGCGGCAGACUCAAAAUCUGUUGUUCGCAAGAACGUGCUGGUUCGAUUCCGGCCAGGGGCACCA